This is a non-coding RNA of Anolis sagrei ordinatus, 525 nucleotides long. The record is from RefSeq and is a predicted model, not a curated record. Lineage: Eukaryota; Metazoa; Chordata; Lepidosauria; Squamata; Anolidae.
AACAUAUUUCACCCUUCUCGCUCAAAGGGGACUCAGAGUGGAGCACAACAUAUAUAUGGCAGACAUUCCGUGCCAGAACAUAAAAUAAACUAUAAAUAUACAUAAACACUAAAACCAGUCAUUUCCAAUUUAAAAUCAAUUGUUUAAGCCAAAGGGCAAGCAAUGGUUGAAGAAAUGUCAAUUCCAUGAUUUACUGCACAACCAGGAUUUACCCUUCUUGUCUUCUUUCUUCAUAACAGGAUCAUCAAAGCAGCUGGGAGCGACUGCAGAAGACAGCCGCGCAUAGGGAAAAAGCGGAUAUCCCGAAUCUCUGUGGCAGUUCCAAAUCCAUUCGUCUAUGUUUCUGCGAUGACCCAACAUGUGUGGCGUGUGAUGAGGCAAUCAAGGCCAUGUAUUUCUGUGACCAUUUCAAUACCUUUUCUGUACUCCUCUGCGAUGACCCAACAUGUACAGUUUGUGAUACACUAGGCGAGGAGGUCAUACAGUUGAAUUAACUCAGAGGGAAUAAAUCUUCCCCAGACCCUU